Molecule: long non-coding RNA, 505 nt
Organism: Melopsittacus undulatus (budgerigar)
Lineage: Eukaryota; Metazoa; Chordata; Aves; Psittaciformes; Psittaculidae
Exons: 4
Source: RefSeq, a predicted model, not a curated record
GGCAGGGCCGUGAGGUGCCGCUGACCCGGGCACCGCGGCGGGCAGCGCUCCCCCGCCCGGCGCCGCGCCGAGGCCGCCUGAGGACAGCCCCAGCCCAACGGUGUUUUGGACUAGAGCCGUGUUCCGAGCACCCUGCCAUCGCCAACAGCCGGCUCAGCGCUCCUGGUGCAGCGUUUUCAGAAGCGUGUUCUUCGAAGGGAAAAACCCAGGAUCUUGGUUUUUCCGGAGGUGCCAGCAAACUUUGCCAUCUGCUGAGAGAGCAUCCAGUGGUCCUGGCACGCACAGAAAGAUGUGCUUUCUCUUUUAUGGUUCAAAUUAAGUGGUUAUGUGGGAUAAGCUGAGAGCUUGACAAAAGAGAACUUCCAGCCACUCGCCGUGCUGCAGCCUGGCAUCUUCACUGGGCUUUGGCAGCUUGUGACAAGCUUCUAAAAGCAGGAGCCCUCACCCUGACCCCAGGUCCAGCAGGAUCCAUCCCUGCUCCCUGUGUGCGACAGCUUCCAAGGCC